Molecule: long non-coding RNA, 2301 nt
Organism: Electrophorus electricus (electric eel)
Lineage: Eukaryota; Metazoa; Chordata; Actinopteri; Gymnotiformes; Gymnotidae
Source: RefSeq, a predicted model, not a curated record
AAAUGUGAUAAAUGUCCCUCAAAGCAUCAAUAAGCCUGCAGUUCCCUGGCGCUCUGCCAAGACACCGCGAGGCUCUGACGACGAAACGACUUCACGAGCGUCCUCCCACGCCCGCGAGCUGUCCGGUGCAGUGGAUAACCUGCAGUCUCAGGUGCAGCCACGCGUCCCACGUGCGCAGGAUUGCGGCAGGUGGGGCCUUUAAUCAUUCGUUUUUGCUUAGCAUGCGACCGCUUCUCAAACAAGACAGUCACUGUUGAUUUACGAGCUCAAGCCAGAUUCACCUUUUACACCCAACCAUGGGCGCCUCGGGCCGCAGAAACAUACCGGUCAGUAGUCCCGCGCGCUCCAACACCCAGCACAUUACCGAGCAGCCAAGCAGAACGCGGGAUUUCAGCGCGAGCGUAUGGCCGCAUCCCCAAAGCCACGUAGAAACGAAGUGGACAAGCGCGCGUUUAUUCUCCAUGCACCGACACGCAGCGCGGGGCUCCCGGGCGCCGGCUCCGCGCGCUUAUCGAACUGUUUUCCGCUAAACCCUUCGUGUGUUCCUCAGAUUAAUCGGAAAUCCUGCCGUAACCCGUUCCUGGUUUUACGCACCAGCGGCACGCUGGUCUCCGAACUGCACGCGGAAAGGCAGCCACCGGAAAAACGGACGACACAACACAUUUGACUUUUUUUUUAAUUCGGGCAACAGCUGAACGUGUUCACGAGGUUUAUGCUUCACAUCACAAAGCUCACGCUCGCCUUUUGAAUAAUAAACAGGAAAAAAGCAAAGCAGCUUUGUACGGCGAACGUUCUUCAAGGAUCUCUAGUGCUUCCGAGGUCCAACAUAUAGGAGCACAGAGAAACAUUUACGAUCACAACACGGAAACGUUACAUGUGGCUUUAGCUGGCCAGAGCUGACCUGACGUGCACGGUUAGUAGGUUAAAUUAGCGAGGUAAUUAUCUAACCCAGCUUAGAUGUGUCAGAUACGGAAACGACGACGUUUAUGCGUGGCUCCUAAAGUAAAAUCACAUUCGUAAGGAAGGGGAAGCGCGCGCGUUUUGCUCGCUCUGCAGAAGCUGGGUGAAUUUACAGACCGAGGGCACGCGACUGCGGGGUCACGGCACAUCACAGUCGGACGCCUGUGUGAACAAAGAUGUUUUCCCUCGAGAUCCUCUUCAUCGUGUGUGGGUGUGGACACAGUCUCCCAGAGGAAUACCCAUGAGAGCCGACCCUGAGAGAGAACCCCUCAGAUGUAGAGAGCAGCUUUCUACAGACCCUCAUCAGAGCAGGGACCCUCACUCCUACUCUCCAGAUGCAGGGCCUGUCUCCUCUAUCACCCCACCCUUCUCCUCCACCCAUCACCCCAACUCCAUCUAUCUCCUCCACUCUCAACCUUUCACCCCUUUUACACUCAGUGGCUCAGUGAAUGUUGAUGUCAGGGGGAAACUACCAACCCUCUCUGACUAUCGACUGGUGUUCCAGGACAUGUGUGUACUGUUCCUCUUUUCAAGGCAUUAUUGAUCAUGAUGAAUCAUUAUUUAACAUUAUUUUGCUUUACUAUUGAUGCUGGUGCCAGAUGUGUAUAUAAAUACAUAUGUGAGAAUGGAGUCUUAUUAUACCACUCCAAACCUUAGUCUUGGUAAAUCUUUUAUUUGCAAGUUUAGCAAACUAUGAAUUAAAUUUACAUUUCUUGAAUGUCUGGGGAGGGAUGAGUAAAGUUACACCAAGCUGAACAGUAAGGAAGGAGGAGUCUCACCCUGGACCUACUGUGGAUUAAAAUAAAUAAAUAAAUAAACAUUUAAUUAAACAAACAGGUAUUGGAGUCACACACACACACACACACACCAGCAAUCUUGUAAAAUUUCAGUUGGGAAUUGUGUUAAUGUAUGAAUAUCACUCAAAGACAAUAUUGUAAUUGCCAGGUUUUACAAAAGUCUCGUGCCAUAUAAGUGUGGUUCGGUUUGAAUAUCGAAACCAAGGCAUCUGUAGCGCUAGGCCAAGGGAACCACUACGGGAGUUUGUUUGUUUAUGUCAAAAAUUUUACUCAAUUGUGUUAUCCUGGCUAACACUUAAUGAAUAAUUCAUCAGUCAAAUUUGAAUAAGAGCUACCAGACGAAGCGUCUCUCCAGUAUCUGUACACACUCAUCCAAUUAUGAGGAACAGACUAAUGAAAAAAACCCUAAUUUGCUGUUCACAUGAGUGUUAUUUGUGUUCAAAAACAAGAAUAUUUGUCCUAAUUGGGGUGAAUAGUUGAAGAAGUAAAAUAAGAUAUGUAAACUGUUUAAAAUGUUUGAAUACUGUUUUAAAACCUGAUUAAA